RNAcentral lists this ribosomal RNA (238 nucleotides) under uncultured bacterium. RNAcentral describes it as "partial 16S ribosomal RNA". It matches the Rfam family "Bacterial small subunit ribosomal RNA", at positions 100 to 334 of the family's 1533-position model. The record is from RNAcentral.
CGGAACGGGUGAGUAACGCGUGAGGAACCUGCCUCAAAGAGGGGGACAACAGUUGGAAACGACUGCUAAUACCGCAUAAGCCCACGGUGCCGCAUGGCACAGAGGGAAAAGGAGCAAUCCGCUUUGAGAUGGCCUCGCGUCCGAUUAGCUAGUUGGUGAGGUAACGGCCCACCAAGGCAACGAUCGGUAGCCGGACUGAGAGGUUGAACGGCCACAUUGGGACUGAGACACGGCCCAG